GUCAAUUAAUGUAGAGGAUUGGUGGGGAAUGAUACUGUUACGCUGGUGAGAUAAUGCAACGCGCGAUGAGUUAUUAGAAAAAGAUCCGACUCUAAACUAGAAAGUGUAAAAGUGCAGUUAAAUGAGACAAUUAACAGAAAAUUAUGGAUUAUUAACGCAGAUAAGUCAAUUAGUAGGAAAUUAAAAGUAAAGGAAACUGCAUGGAAAUAUGUACGUACUGAUAUAAUAAUCCUGGAAGGAUGCUGAUAGAGUUUAUUAGAUGGUUCGAAGAUACUACAAUUUUUAUUUCUACUGAUAAUUCAUCACGACUCUGUUAAAUGUAUAGCCAGUGUUAAUUUUACACGACUAAUGAAGAAGUCUAAAUUAUUGUUUAUCUUAAUACAUACGUUUAUUCAAAUAUCAUAUGCGUUGUAUCAACGUUAAUAAAAUUAUAUCCUCGCUUCAAAUCUACAUAUAACAAUAUUUAUAUCGCGAUGCUUCUCUUAAGCAAUCGAAUUGUACUACACAAAGUCCCCAUUAAUGCGAGAAGACACGAGAAGAGAAUAUCUGCAGGUAAAAUGACUAAUUUUCAAUGAGGCCCUAGCUUAACAAGUCAUGAUGCAACGACAAACGUGUACGUAACUAUGAAGCAAUAGGUAGAAAGAUAAGACGAGUUCUUCAACUUAUUUCAAACAUUAUUCAAACCGGCGAGUCUCGUGUAAUCUGCAUAAACCGUACUAUCAGUCAGUUCUUCAGCUUUCGCCAUCUUCUUCGCAUCUUCUUCGUCGAUCUACAUUGCGAAAUGGAACCGCAUAUCGUCCAGCAGGAUUGUUACAGACAAAAUGAUGUCAAUUUUCCUAAUCGUCUGUCCGAUUUUAAUAUACGACGUAUUGAUAAAUCCAAGUUUUGAAAAAAAGAAAGAUAUGAAAAAGGUACUUUCUAAGAGUCUAUGUUUCUCAAUAAGUUAUGGCACAGUGACUGGAUAAAAGAAGAAUGCAGACUCGGGUCUUGGCCGAUCAGAAUUUAAUCGAUCUGGCCUUUCGUCUCCUAACCGCUUUUUAUAAUAUUUUUAAGUUUUUGUAUCCUACCCCGGCUGAUCUAUAUGUACAUUGCGCGUCAGAUUGAACUACUUUCUUAUUGCUAAAUCUUUUUCAGAGAGAAAUUUUUUCCCUGCACACUCCUGACUUUUAUAAAUUACGGUAAAAUGACUAGACUGAAAUGAAAAUGAAUAUGGUAAUGUGCAAUAUCGAAUAUUUCCAGACUUCAACGAGUCUAAAGCGCAAUAUUUCACUAAUUAUGUUUUUAUCUACUAAACUAUUUUGCAACUGUCUAUGAGAAACUGAAGAGAUAUUGGUGUUGCAUUUGGCGAAUCUGUUACAUCUACAUCUGUUACAUUUACGAACAUAAAUAGGAAACUGUAAUAUCGUAGUUGAAACGAAAUUUUAAUACACGAUAAAAACGACAGGGCAUACCGAUUCAUGUUCUGAUUAAAGCUUUCCUCGUUAACGCGAAACUUCGAUUAGUAUUCCACGUGAAACAAACAUGAAAUAUUGCGAAAUAUUAUUUGUGAAAAUUCUAAUGUAAAUUUUCUUAAUGGAAUCACACGUUUUAUUAUAUA
Bombus huntii is the source of this 1597-nucleotide long non-coding RNA. RefSeq lists it as uncharacterized. NCBI's taxonomy places the organism in Eukaryota, Metazoa, Arthropoda, Insecta, Hymenoptera, Apidae. The transcript is spliced from 4 exons. The record is from RefSeq and is a predicted model, not a curated record.